This 414-nucleotide ribosomal RNA is filed under the name uncultured microorganism. RNAcentral's name for it is "bacterial SSU rRNA". It matches the Rfam family "Archaeal small subunit ribosomal RNA", at positions 459 to 872 of the family's 1478-position model. The record is from RNAcentral.
CAGCCGCCGCGGUAAUACCGGCGGCCCGAGUGGCGGUCACUAUUAUUGGGCUUAAAACGUCCGUAGCCGGGUUGGGAAGUCCUCCGGGAAAUCUGGCCGCUUAACGGUCAGAAUGCCGGAGGAUACUCCCAGCCUAGGGAGCGGGGGAGGCCGAGGGGAUUCCCGGGGUAGGGGGGAAAUCCUAUAAUCCCGGGAGGACCACCUGUGGCGAAGGCGCUCGGCUGGAACGCGUCCGACGGUGAGGGACGAAGGCCAGGGGAGCAAACCGGAUUAGAUACCCGGGUAGUCCUGGCUGUAAACGAUGCGGACUUUGUGUCGGACAAGCUAUGAGCUUGUCCGGUGCCGGAGGGAAACCGUUAAGUCCGCCGCCUGGGGAGUACGGCCGCAAGGCUGAAACUUAAAGGAAUUGGCGGG